CCUACGGGGAGCAGCAGUCGAGAAUCAUUCACAAUGGGGGAAACCCUGAUGGUGCGACGCCGCGUGGGGGAAUGAAGGUCUUCGGAUUGUAAACCCCUGUCAUGUGGGAGCAAAUUAAAAAGAUAGUACCACACGAGGAAGAGACGGCUAACUCUGUGCCAGCAGCCGCGGUAAUACAGAGGUCUCAAGCGUUGUUCGGAAUCACGGGGCGUAAAGCGUGCGUAGGCUGUUUCGUAAGUCGUGUGUGAAAGGCGCGGGCUCAACCCGCGGACGGCACAUGAUACUGCGAGACUAGAGUAAUGGAGGGGGAACCGGAAUUCUCGGUGUAGCAGUGAAAUGCGUAGAUAUCGAGAGGAACACUCGUGGCGAAGGCGGGUUCCUGGACAUUAACUGACGCUGAGGCACGAAGGCCAGGGGAGCGAAAGGGAUUAGAUACCCUUGUAGUC
This 446-nucleotide ribosomal RNA is filed under the name uncultured bacterium. RNAcentral describes it as "partial 16S ribosomal RNA". It matches the Rfam family "Bacterial small subunit ribosomal RNA", at positions 338 to 795 of the family's 1533-position model. The record is from RNAcentral.